Molecule: long non-coding RNA, 530 nt
Filed under: Solanum tuberosum (potato)
Lineage: Eukaryota; Viridiplantae; Streptophyta; Magnoliopsida; Solanales; Solanaceae
Description: long non-coding RNA (STUB_LNC009209)
Source: RNAcentral
ACCAUUCGUUUUUUCACAAAAUAAUAAAAGCUAUUACAUUUUACAGUGAGCGGAAAACCAAAAACAAAAGUGCAUAAGCACACCAAAAGUGAUCACAUAGUUUAAAAUUAUAAAGAUUGAUUUCCCAAUCUUUCAUUCCACAUAGACUGAGCUAGUUCAUCCCUCCAAGUGGUCCACUCAUCAGAUGCUUCAAUUGUAUUAAUAUUGUCAUGUUCAUGUUGAUUUUCCAUGUGGAAUUCCAUUUCCACAUCUAAUGGGUCAGCUUCCAUCUCUCUUCGAAUGAAAUUGUGAAUCAAACAACAUGCACUAAUAAUUCUAUUGUGAACCUUAACCGAGUACCACGAAGGACUUCUAAGAAUUCCCCAACGUCCUUUUAAUAGUCCAAAUGCUCUUUCAAUAACAUUACGCGCCCUAGCAUGCUUCAUAUUAAAGAGCUCUUCUCGACAUUGAGGUUUUUCAAUAACAUUACGCGCACUAGCAUGCUUCAUAUUAAAGAGCUCUUCUCGACAUCGAGGUGAUGGAUUGUCACC